This 5527-nucleotide long non-coding RNA is filed under the name Gossypium barbadense (sea-island cotton). RNAcentral describes it as "long non-coding RNA (GBAR_LNC008071)". The record is from RNAcentral. Lineage: Eukaryota; Viridiplantae; Streptophyta; Magnoliopsida; Malvales; Malvaceae.
GGACUUCCCCGUUGGCACUGUAGUUAUGCGAAAUCAUCGUACUCGCUUUAAGGUAAGGUAUUUGGUUGUUUAUUGUAUUGUAGGAAGACUUGGUUUCAAUUUUAAUUUCAUUUUAAGUGAAUAACACAGUGGUUUGUUGGCGAAUUAUAGGUUCUGGUGGUCUUGGGACGGCUUUGGCAUAAAAUCGAACCAGGUGUGUACCCCGAAACGCAAAAAUUAAGCUUUUAAAAAAAUUCAAAAAAGGCCACUGUUGACGCCACACGGGCGUGUGGUCACCCAUGUGGUAGGCCGUGUGUGUCAACACAGUCAUGUAUCUACAAAGGCCAAGCCGUGCACAGGACAAGGCCGUGUGAUGGCCAAGGUGUGACCGUGUGGACCACAUGGGCUACUCCAAAUUAGGUGUAUGGGCCACAGGGCAUGUGGGCCCAUAAGGGCACGCCACACGGGCGUGUAAUAUCUGGGCUAGGCCGUGUGAUCCAAACGGGCAAGGCCAAUCUCAGCUGUGGGCCUACACGGGCAGGCCACAUGGGCAUGUGGGCCCAUUAUACUUAAAUUUUUUGUAGGGUCGCAUGGGUCAUCCUAAUCGACUGUGGACCUAUCGUAGGGUCAGUAAAAGUUUACUAAACCCUGAAUCUAUAUGUUCUAUUAGACUGAUGCACUGUUGUAAGCAUGCCUAUAUUUGUUAUAUGUUAUCUGUUUGUAGAAGCAUGAUUUGUGAGUCAAAUCUAUAUGCAUGUCUGUUAAUGUGAUUGGGGUAGGAUGAUACAUAUAAAUAUAUAUGAUGGAGGAAGUGUUCUAAAAGGCAUAUCAUGUCUAAUAUCUGACAGCACAGCUGCAUUAUAUCUGAUAUAUGCCGCAUUGGUACAACGUGAUGUGUAGGGUUGGAUGGGUGUUUUAAACCCCACAUGGUGUGUAAGGAUGGUUGGAGAUGGUUGUAAAGGCUAGGGGUAGGAUUCUGUUUUCUAAUUGCAUGUCUGUAACUAAAUCUAUAUCUGAAAUAGGCUUUGGUCCGUAUCCGUAUUUGUAUCUGUGUCUGACAUGAGCUCAGGCCCGAUUGUGAAUCUGUUUGAUUUGUGAUAUUUUGUAUGUAUACAUGCUUAACUUUGUUGGGUUACACACUGAGUUUACGUAAACUCACCCAUUUUCUAUUUGUUUGUACAAGUAACCCACAGUCUUAGGCGGAUUGGUGCUGCGAAGCCCUUCGAUGACCAUACAUUCAAAUUGAACUUUGCUACGGUUGUAUUUCUUUAAUCUGGAUUAUGCUGAUUUUAUGUGAUUCAGACUUUUCGGGCUGUUUUCCUUUUUAUCUUGGAUUUUACUAACAUUUUAAUGAUUUAUAACUGCCAAUCAUGAUAUAGCUUGGUUUUCAUUAAAAAAUAAGGUUUAUCUAAAUCUUGAAUGGUUUCCUAAAAAUAAUGUUUUUACCUAAGCUUCCGCUAAAAUGAUACGUUUUAAGACAAGUCGAUUAGUGAUAUGUAUGUUUUGAAUCAAAUAAAAGCAAUUAAAGGUUUUACCGAGUUAGCUCUGUUUUCAAAAUUCUUACCAUGUGACAUCGUCAGAUUCGGCCAUAACGUCUAGGUCGGGUUUGGGGUGUUACAAAACAUCUCAAAGACAGUAUAACCACAAUAAACAAGAAAACCCAUAAUAAACUUCAAAGAAAUUAAAAGGAGAUCUUCAAGCUUGAUGGAAAUCUGCUUCAAAGUCGCCUUUAAUGGUGUUUUUCGAGUUUUUUCUUCAAUAUUCUAUGAUGGCUUACUCCCUCUUCUUAUAUUUUGUAUAUAAAUAGGUCUUAGAAUGCCCAAAAACCUAAAAUUUUAUUUUUUUUGCUUGUUUGGAGUACAGUUCUCGAUUUUCACACGGUCUGGCACAUGGCCGUAUAACAGCUAGUGUGGCUCCUGAAACUUGUUCCAAUUUUUCAAUUUUUGCUUGUUUUUCUCUCCUUUUACUCCAAGAUGCUCUCCUAAGCAUAGAAAUAUGAAUCUAAAGGAUUAGGAGCAUAAAAUUCAACAUUUUACAUUGAAUAAUUAUCCAAAAAUGCAUUAAGAUCGAGAUUAAAACAUGUUACUUUUAGCACUUAUCAAUUCAAGUCAAUUAAGCAAUUACAACACCAUACACAUAUAUAGGCAUAUAACAUUUUUAUUAACAUCUAUUAAUAAACUAAAACAUUUAUCAUUCUUGUAUCAAAACCAAGAUUAUACACAAUUUCUAUUAACCGAAUCCAUGAACUAUCACCAUUAACAAUCAUAAUAACAUAACAUAUUGUAUCAUGUACUUAACAUUAAGGUAAUCAAUUCAAAUUCAAAUUCAAACAUUUAUAUAUAUAUCAUUAUCCCAUUUUAUAAUUGAAUCUAUUGAUUCGCCAUGCUUCUAUAUUGGCCCUCCAAGCUUUUAUAAGCACUUUUCAUGAAUAACCAAUUUUAUUAAAUAUAACCAAUUAUAUUUCUGCAGAACGAUCUAAUUUUAUUAAAUAAAAAUCUAAUUUUAAUUAAUUUUACAAAUUUAGUAUCCAAGAUGGAUAACCAAAUCUUCAUAUACAUUCAUUUUAAUAGAGUAAUUUUACAAACAGUUGUUGGUUUUUUAUAUGAAUCUCGCUAGCAAAUAGGAAUGAAGUUUAAUAAGAAUGUGUCUAUUGAUGAUAUGAUAGAAAAGAUAGUGACAAAAUUGGUCAGCGUUGUGGGAGGAGGAUGUCAAGACUAUUCUACAAAUUUCCAGUUUUGUCAAAUCCUAUCAAAUUGACCGAUAUGAGACUUUUAGAUGAUGAAGACAUGGAGACAAUGGUCGCACUUUAUUGCCUAAAUGGGAGGGUCAACAUUGAACUGGUUGAGUUGUUUGAUGAUUUAGUAGAUGUGGAGCUCGUUCAAGAUGUCACUCCAUUAAGUCAACAAUAUGGAGUUCAAGUCCUGUGUACAGGGUUUCUAAGAUCGUUUGCCGAUAGUCGAUUGUCUAUACAGGAGUUUGACAUUGAUCUUAAUUUUAUGGAUAGAACAGUACGGUAGUGGAGCUAUAUUGACAUGGGCUGAAAAUCCACACCAUGCUUGGAUUACAUAUGACAACCUUUAUUUGGGUCCUCGUUUACAGAUACAUCCCAUCGUGAUUGAGACUGAUGCAGAUGAUGAAGAUAGAUCUGAUAAUAAUGGUCAUUCUAAUCAUGAGGAUGAAGAUUUUAAUGACCCACUAAUAGAUUUCCAGCCGUUGAGGUUGUUGGUGGUUGGAGAUAUAAAACUAGAGCAUUUAUUUCACCUGCAACUGCAAGUAUUGAUACCUCCAAAAAGGGUAUCGAUAUUUUUUAUCAUAAAUGCUAAUUCAGUGACCGUUGGAAUGAAAUAAUCGAUACUUCAAAAAUAUUUUAUCGAUACUUCCUGGAAUAGGUAUCGAUAUUGGAUCGAUACUUUGUAGGGUUUAUGAGAAACAAAAUAAAAUUUUGGUAUCGUUUUUAAGAAAGGUAUCGAUUAUUUUCAAAAAGUAUCAAUACUAAAAACAUGGUAUUGAUAAUUUUUAAGGUUUUAACAGAAUUCCUUUUUUGUCUCGAUUUUUCUAAGGGUAUGAUAUUUCAAAAAAUUAUCGAUACUUGGCCAAAUAGUAUCGAUAUUUUUUGGCCUAGAGCAAUUCUGACUUGUUUGAAAAUCAUUUUGAUGUGUUAAAAUGAUUUUAACUUAAUUGAGAUCAUUUUGACUUGGUUAAAUCAUUUUCACUUGAUUUUAAAAUUGUUUCAAAAUUUUCAAAGAGUUUAAUGUAAAUAUUCAAUAUUUUAUUUAUUAGAAUUCAAAUUUAAAAAAUAUUUUAUCAUUUUGACCCUUAUACUUGCGGACCGUUGUUCCAUUUUUAUCUAUUUUACUGUAUUAUUUCUAGUCUAGACAUUUGCUUGUUUGGUGGCGAUCAAGACCCGAGUUCAAUUCCCCUUUCCUUUGUAAUUUUUAUUUAUUGUAUUUUUGCCCAAAACCUUAGCUAUUGUCGCCCUAUGCUUCUAAACCUUAGUAUAUAGCAUUUUCUAUUUGUUAUCAGCCUAUUUUUACUCUCAUUUUAUUAUCUAUUGUCAUCCCACUCUUUUCUUCCUCUCUUUCACUUUACUUUUCUCUCCUUUCUUCUCCAUUGUGCUGCCCCAUCAACAUUAGUUGUGCUCCAUGCCACAUAUUGUUGUUCCCUUUUUGCUUUUCAUUCAUUCUCUAUUUAAGGUUAAUUAUUGUUGCUCUUUUAUUCCAUUGUUGCUGCCAUUUUGAUCUCCUUUGCUACCAUUUUUCCUUCAUUAUUGACAUAUCUCUUAAGGUUUUCUACACUCUCUCUUUCUUUUCACUUGUUGCUGUUUUUUUUCCCACCAUUGUUGUACAUUUUUGCUUCAUUUUUACUCGUCUUUUUCUUUCAUUUUUGCUGUUGAUUUUUUUCCAUUGCCACACCCUUUUUGCCUACUUUUCUUUCAUUUUUAUUGCUGAAAUCAGCCUCAUGUCUUGGCCGACUGAAGUGUUCAUCCAUUUUCUAUUUAUUCGUUGUUUCAGAUCUAGAAACCAGGAAGUGUAAAUGAAGCUUUUUAAAUCUUAUCUAAGUCAUUUUCUCCUUUUUCAUAUUUUGUAAUGAACGAUUGAUGCUUUUAAUGGUCGAAUCUAACAUGUCCCUUUCUUUUUGUGUUUUGAUUGAUUCAAGAUCCAAAUCCAAAUCUAUACAGAUCAGUAAUAACAUCAUAAAUUUGUUUGCAAUCCUGUCAUAAGCCAAAUGGAGUAAGUAUUAAUCCUUAACUUUAGAUUUGAAUUUUUCGAUGUAUUUCCUUCUUUGGUCGAAUCUUGUAUGGGUGAUUGAAGAUUGGUUUAGUCGUGUUUUGUAUGUAUCACGUAUAGAUUUGAUCAGGAUCUGUCUAGAUCUAAACGAUGGAGCUACAAGAUAGCAUUAGUAUUUUGGUUUCGCGAUUAAUUAGGUGUGGGUCUUAUCUUUGGGUGUUUUGAUGUUUAUUGAAAUUAAGUAUUGUGCAUGUUGAUCAAUUAUACAUAUUAAUUUGUGCAUGGCUAAAUGUCCUUGAGUUGGAUUAGGGGUUGUCGAUUAAGGAAAGUACUAAAAGGGUAAUGGCAAAAUGUUUAAGGGCCUUUAUUGUGAUUAAGUAAAUGUCUAAGUGUCGAAAGAAAUUACUAAUUGUACACCUUAUGUAUUGUAUGAUGUGUUAUUGUUUAUUGGUUGCAUGAAUAAGCAUGCCACUAAAUUUUACUGUAUAUAUUGGAUGCAAAGCAUGUUAAGCAUGUCACUAUUAUUGGUUUUGUUACUCAUUAGUAUGAUAUGGUAUAUUAUUAGUUUGUCAUAUUGCAUUGCAUAAGUUUGGGAUUGAUUGUGCGACAGCAGAGUUCCAUAGAAUAUUGACAGUUUAUCGCAUUAUUGUUUAGCAGUAUAUUUGCGCCCCCGGAGUAUUGUUGGAGUGCUGGUGACUUAUCGCAACUUACAAGGAGCUUGUCUGCAAAUUAUUUGCAGUUUCAACUACAUAUUUUUACUGGUGGUUUAUCCACAUCAAGCUUCAACUCUUAUUGUUUUCGUGUUUAGAUGAUGGGCUUUG